AGUUACUGAGGCCACUGCACGUAUCACACGAUGUUGGAUACAGUGGGCAAAAGAGGUCUGGAUUCCUUUAUUGAGCUGCUUCCGCCGUAGUGGGAACACAGCAGGUGCACGUGCAACAAUGGACGAACCAUUGGAAGUGGGUGCAUCUGGGAGUGGAAGAGACUGCACACCUGGGGACCACGAAAGCCCAAAGAAAUCUAGGACAUAAUGAUAUUCUGCAACAACUCCAAAGACUUUAAGGGAACAACACAGAAAUGUUAAGAGGAAUGCAAGAGUGCCAGUGGAAUAAAACCUGAGAAGUUGCCAGCAGUGAGUGAAAUGCAAAAUAGCCUCCAGGAUGGUUCCUCAGUACCAAAACUCGACAAGAGCAAGUUAUGAGCUUUUAUUUUUUCUUUUUAAAAAUUUUCUCCUAUAGUAAAAGUCGUAUGUCACAAAAUCUUCAGUGAUAUAACCACAGAUACACCUUGGAUCAAGUACCCAAGGAAAAGAACUUUACAAAGAUAAUUCGGGUCCAUCAGCACAGCUCAGGCCUUCACAACGGGCGCAGGCAUCAAGGGAAAAAGAUAUUCGGGCCACGUCAAUGUCUCCUCUGAAUC
Long non-coding RNA from Neogale vison (American mink), 596 nucleotides. RefSeq lists it as uncharacterized. The transcript has 3 exons. NCBI's taxonomy places the organism in Eukaryota, Metazoa, Chordata, Mammalia, Carnivora, Mustelidae. The record is from RefSeq and is a predicted model, not a curated record.